This 284-nucleotide ribosomal RNA is filed under the name Ixodes ricinus (castor bean tick). RNAcentral describes it as "partial small subunit ribosomal RNA". Lineage: Eukaryota; Metazoa; Arthropoda; Arachnida; Ixodida; Ixodidae. The record is from RNAcentral.
AAAAUAAAAUUUGAUUUUAAAAAAAUUUAUUUUUUAAACUAGGAUUAGAUACCCUAUUAUUUUAAGCUUAAUGUUGGUAGUAAGUAAAAUUUAUGAAAUCAUAAAAUUUUGGCGGUAUUUUAAGCUUGUUAGAGGAAUUUGCUCUAUAAUGGAUACAACGCCUAUAUCUUACUUAAUUUUGUAAUUAAAGUCAGUUUGUAUACCACUAUAUUUAAUUAUAUUGAAUAAUUAUAUUUAAGAUUUUUAUAUAAAUAUAUAUUAAGUCAAGGUGCAACAAAUAAUUA